AUUGAACGCUGACGGCAGGCCUAACACAUGCAAGUCGAACGGCAGCACGGCAGUAGCAAUACUGUGGGUGGCGAGUGGCGGACGGGUGAGGAAUACGUCGGAAUCUGCCCAGUCGUGGGGGAUAACUAGCCGAAAGGUUAGCUAAUACCGCAUACGACCGAGAGGUGAAAGCGGGGGACCGCAAGGCCUCGCGCGAUUGGAUGAGCCGACGUCGGAUUAGCUAGUUGGCGGGGUAAAGGCCCACCAAGGCGACGAUCCGUAGCUGGUCUGAGAGGAUGAUCAGCCACACUGGAACUGAGACACGGUCCAGACUCCUACGGGAGGCAGCAGUGGGGAAUUUUGGACAAUGGGGGGCAACCCUGAUCCAGCCAUGCCGCGUGAGUGAAGAAGGCCU
RNAcentral lists this ribosomal RNA (394 nucleotides) under uncultured bacterium. Its description in RNAcentral is "bacterial SSU rRNA". It matches the Rfam family "Bacterial small subunit ribosomal RNA", at positions 29 to 417 of the family's 1533-position model. The record is from RNAcentral.